AUUGAACGCUGGCGGCAGGCCUAACACAUGCAAGUCGAGCGGAUGAAGGGAGCUUGCUCCUGGAUUCAGCGGCGGACGGGUGAGUAAUGCCUAGGAAUCUGCCUGGUAGUGGGGGAUAACGUCCGGAAACGGGCGCUAAUACCGCAUACGUCCUGAGGGAGAAAGUGGGGGAUCUUCGGACCUCACGCUAUCAGAUGAGCCUAGGUCGGAUUAGCUAGUUGGUGGGGUAAAGGCCUACCAAGGCGACGAUCCGUAACUGGUCUGAGAGGAUGAUCAGUCAAACUUGAAACGAGACAACGUCCAGACUCCUACGGGAGGCAGCCGUGGGGAAAUUUGGACAAUGGGCGGAAGCCUGAUUCAGCCAUGCCGCGUGUGUGAAGAAGGUCUUCGGAUUGUAAAGCACUUUAAGUUGGGAGGAAGGGCAGUAAGUUAAUACCUUGCUGUUUUGACGUUACCAACAGAAUAAGCACCGGCUAACUUCGUG
Molecule: ribosomal RNA, 484 nt
Filed under: uncultured bacterium
Lineage: Bacteria
Description: partial 16S ribosomal RNA
Rfam family: Bacterial small subunit ribosomal RNA
Source: RNAcentral